This 253-nucleotide ribosomal RNA is filed under the name uncultured bacterium. RNAcentral describes it as "partial 16S ribosomal RNA". It matches the Rfam family "Bacterial small subunit ribosomal RNA", at positions 524 to 776 of the family's 1533-position model. The record is from RNAcentral.
UACAGAGACUGCAAGCGUUAUUCGGAUUCACUGGGCGUAAAGGGUGCGCAGGCGGUUGUGUGUGUCAGGUGUGAAAGCCCGGGGCUUAACCCCGGAAUUGCGCCUGAAACUACAUGACUAGAGCAUUGGAGAGGGUAGCGGAAUUCACGGUGUAGCAGUGAAAUGCGUAGAUAUCAAGUGGAACACCAGUGGCGAAGGCGAGUCUCUGGACAUUUCCUGACGCUGAGGCACGAAAGCCAGGGGAGCAAACGGG